GACGAACGCUGGCGGCGUGCCUAAUACAUGCAAGUCGAACGCAGUGGGGACGGUUUAGUAACACGUGGGUAACCUCCCGUCAGAGGGGAUAACACGUGGAAAAAGGUGCUAAACCGAUACUGAUGGAUGGACCCGCGGGGCAUUAGCUAGUUGGUGAGGUAACGGCUCACCAAGGCCACGAUGCAUAGCCGAUCUGAGAGGGUGAUCGGCCACACUGGGACUGAGACACGGCCCAGACUCCUACGGGAGGCAGCAGUAGGGAAUCUUCCGCAAUGGGCGAAAGUCUGACCGAGCAACGCCGCGUGAGUGAAGAAGGUCUUCGGAUCGUAAAGCACUGUUGUCAGGGAAGCGUUAUCUAACCAGAAAGCCACGGCUAACUACGUGCCAGCAGCCGCGGUAAUUC
Molecule: ribosomal RNA, 403 nt
Filed under: uncultured bacterium
Lineage: Bacteria
Description: partial 16S ribosomal RNA
Rfam family: Bacterial small subunit ribosomal RNA
Source: RNAcentral